UACGGAGGGUGCAAGCGUUAAUCGGAAUUACUGGGCGUAAAGCGUGCGCAGGCGGUUUGUUAAGUCCGUUGUGAAAGCCCCGAGCUCAACUUGGGAAUUGCAGUGGAUACUGGCAGGCUGGAGUACGGUAGAGGAAGGUGGAAUUCCCGGUGUAGCAGUGAAAUGCGUAGAUAUCGGGAGGAACACCAGUGGCGAAGGCGGCCUUCUGGACCAGUACUGACGCUCAUGCACGAAAGCGUGGGGAUCAAACAGG
This 253-nucleotide ribosomal RNA is filed under the name uncultured bacterium. RNAcentral's name for it is "partial 16S ribosomal RNA". It matches the Rfam family "Bacterial small subunit ribosomal RNA", at positions 524 to 776 of the family's 1533-position model. The record is from RNAcentral.